UCCUCAGUAGCUCAGCUGGUUAGAGCACCUGACUGUUAAUCAGGGGGUCGCUGGUUCGAGCCCAGCCUGGGGAG
This 74-nucleotide transfer RNA is filed under the name Thermonema lapsum. It matches the Rfam family "tRNA". From Rfam's summary of the family: Transfer RNA (tRNA) molecules are approximately 80 nucleotides in length. Their secondary structure includes four short double-helical elements and three loops (D, anti-codon, and T loops). Further hydrogen bonds mediate the characteristic L-shaped molecular structure. tRNAs have two regions of fundamental functional importance: the anti-codon, which is responsible for specific mRNA codon recognition, and the 3' end, to which the tRNAs corresponding amino acid is attached (by aminoacyl-tRNA synthetases). tRNAs cope with the degeneracy of the genetic code in two manners: having more than one tRNA (with a specific anti-codon) for a particular amino acid; and 'wobble' base-pairing, i.e. permitting non-standard base-pairing at the 3rd anti-codon position. Lineage: Bacteria; Pseudomonadati; Bacteroidota; Cytophagia; Cytophagales; Thermonemataceae. RNAcentral also lists the same sequence under 1 other name. The record is from Rfam by way of RNAcentral.